ACCGUGGACAACGUUCCGGCCAAAACGAACAGCUUUGAACUGUGAAGUGUUAAGUGAAACUCUAUAAACCAAUAUAUUGCGGUUGAAUAGCUCGAGAACAGACGGAGGAGAAUCAUUGCUAAUAAAUGUUCAUCCAUGGAGGAUCCAACAGGAAGAAAGGGAGCUCCCCCCCCCUUCUCCUAUCACAGUCGUCUCGAAUUUUUAGAGAGAGAUUUUUGACGAAAGAAGUUUGUUGGAUGAGAAAGGACUUAUGGUAGCCGAAAAUCAGGAAAACAGCCUGAGAAACAAGCAGAAACUUGCAGAGAGUACUCGAGCUCAACAAAUGGCCAUGAAAAAUCUGCUACUUUGGAUGCCGAUCUUAACCUCUCACAUGCACUUUGAUGUUCACUGACAAGCUUUGAACACUGUCCCUUUAUCACCUGCAAUUGUUGAUGGAGUCAAAUUCAUGAAGUUGAUACUGAAAUGUUGUAUUGGAGCUUAUAUUCCAUGCGCAUUCAAGGCAAGUUCACUUCUGAAGUAAAAUGUAUUGUUCUACCACUGAGUUCAUUACAUAACACUUUCUAUCUGUAGGCUGGAAGAAACAGGAAUCGUAAAAUGGCAAAUACAAAGGACCUGGUAGUGGGAGUUAUAUCUCCUAUGUCAAAUAUAUCUGAAAUUUGUGUCUUAAUCUGAAUGGUCCAAGCAUUGUUUUGGAAAUUAGGCCAGAACAGACAGGGGGAACAAUCUGGAUUAACAACGUACCCAUCUCCAAAUGGUUGAGGUUAACCAAAACUGUUUGUCUGUCUUGAUCAACCUUCUCAUUUGUUCUAUAUAAACAUGUGUUUUCUAAUAUUUUGAGUUUGUGACAAUUUAAUGAUGCUUUUGUUUAUUUAUGCGACUCUAUUUACACUCUUGCACAGUUCAAACAAAA
Molecule: long non-coding RNA, 910 nt
Organism: Nelumbo nucifera (sacred lotus)
Lineage: Eukaryota; Viridiplantae; Streptophyta; Magnoliopsida; Proteales; Nelumbonaceae
Source: RefSeq, a predicted model, not a curated record